AAUGAGGUGCCUGAUUAAAGGAUUAUCUUGAUAGGAUAAAUUAUGUAAUAGAUAAUAAUUACCCACAUUA
RNAcentral lists this transfer RNA (70 nucleotides) under Leptacris sp. OR304. RNAcentral describes it as "tRNA-Ile". The record is from RNAcentral. Lineage: Eukaryota; Metazoa; Arthropoda; Insecta; Orthoptera; Acrididae.